AGUGAACGCUGGCGGCAGGCCUAACACAUGCAAGUCGAACGGCAGCACAAGAGAGCUUGCUCUCUGGGUGUCGAGUGUCGGACGGGUGAGGAAUGCAUCUGAAUCUGCCCAUUUGUGGGGGAUAACCUCGGGAAACCGGGACUAAUACCGCAUAUGACCUACGGGUGAAAGCAGGGGAUCUUCGGACCUUGCGCAGAUGGAUGAGCCGAUGCCGGAUUAGCUAGUUGGAGGGGUAAAGGCCCACCAAGGCGACGAUCCGUAGCUGGUCUGAGAGGAUGAUCAGCCACACUGGGACUGAGACACGGCCCAGACUCCUACGGGAGGCAGCAGUGGGGAAUAUUGGACAAUGGGCGCAAGCCUGAUCCAGCCAUGCCGCGUGUGUGAAGAAGGCCUUCGGGUUGUAAAGCACUUUUGUUGGGAAAGAAAAGCAGCCGGUUAAUACCCGGUUGUCAUGACGGUACCCAAAGAAUAAGCACCGGCUAACUUCGUG
Molecule: ribosomal RNA, 490 nt
Filed under: uncultured bacterium
Lineage: Bacteria
Description: partial 16S ribosomal RNA
Rfam family: Bacterial small subunit ribosomal RNA
Source: RNAcentral